This 1495-nucleotide ribosomal RNA is filed under the name Lacticaseibacillus casei. RNAcentral's name for it is "Lactobacillus casei 16S ribosomal RNA". It matches the Rfam family "Bacterial small subunit ribosomal RNA". The record is from RNAcentral. Lineage: Bacteria; Bacillati; Bacillota; Bacilli; Lactobacillales; Lactobacillaceae.
AGAGUUUGGAUCCUGGCUCAGGAUGAACGCUGGCGGCGUGCCUAAUACAUGCAAGGCGAACAGAGUUCUCAGUAUGAGUGAUCCAGUGCUUGCACCGAGAUUCAACAUGGAACGAGUGGCGGACGGGUGAGUAACACGUGGGUAACCUGCCCUUAAGUGGGGGAUAACAUUUGGAAACAGAUGCUAAUACCGCAUAGAUCCAAGAACCGCAUGGUUCUUGGCUGAAAGAUGGCGUAAGCUAUCGCUUUUGGAUGGACCCGCGGCGUAUUAGCUAGUUGGUGAGGUAAUGGCUCACCAAGGCGAUGAUACGUAGCCGAACUGAGAGGUUGAUCGGCCACAUUGGGACUGAGACACGGCCCAAACUCCUACGGGAGGCAGCAGUAGGGAAUCUUCCACAAUGGACGCAAGUCUGAUGGAGCAACGCCGCGUGAGUGAAGAAGGCUUUCGGGUCGUAAAACUCUGUUGUUGGAGAAGAAUGGUCGGCAGAGUAACUGUUGUCGGCGUGACAGUAUCCAACCAAAAAGCCACGGCUAACUACGUGCCACCAGCCGCGGUAAUACGUAGGUGGCAAGCGUUAUCCGGAUUUAUUGGGCGUAAAGCGAGCGCAGGCGGUUUUUUAAGUCUGAUGUGAAAGCCCUCGGGCUUAACCGAGGAAGCGCAUCGGAAACUGGGAAACUUGAGUGCAGAAGACGACAGUCGGAACUCUCAUGUGUAGCGGUGAAAUGCGUAGAUAUAUGGAAGAACACCAGUGGCGAAGGCGGCUGUCUGGUCUGUAACUGACGCUGAGGCUCGAAAGCAUGGGUAGCGAACAGGAUUAGAUACCCUGGUAGUCCAUGCCGUAAACGAUGAAUGCUAGGUGUUGGAGGGUUUCCGCCCUUCAGUGCCGCAGCUAACGCAUUAAGCAUUCCGCCUGGGGAGUACGACCGCAAGGUUGAAACUCAAAGGAAUUGACGGGGGCCCGCACAAGCGGUGGAGCAUGUGGUUUAAUUCGAAGCAACGCGAAGAACCUUACCAGGUCUUGACAUCUUUUGAUCACCUGAGAGAUCAGGUUUCCCCUUCGGGGGCAAAAUGACAGGUGGUGCAUGGUUGUCGUCAGCUCGUGUCGUGAGAUGUUGGGUUAAGUCCCGCAACGAGCGCAACCCUUAUGACUAGUUGCCAGCAUUUAGUUGGGCACUCUAGUAAGACUGCCGGUGACAAACCGGAGGAAGGUGGGGAUGACGUCAAAUCAUCAUGCCCCUUAUGACCUGGGCUACACACGUGCUACAAUGGAUGGUACAACGAGUUGCGAGACCGCGAGGUCAAGCUAAUCUCUUAAAGCCAUUCUCAGUUCGGACUGUAGGCUGCAACUCGCCUACACGAAGUCGGAAUCGCUAGUAAUCGCGGAUCAGCACGCCGCGGUGAAUACGUUCCCGGGCCUUGUACACACCGCCCGUCACACCAUGAGAGUUUGUAACACCUCGUAAGCCGGUGGCGUAACCUCUAUUAGGGAGCGAGC